GAUGAACGCUGGCGGCGUGCCUAACACAUGCAAGUCGAGCGAACAGAUGAGGAGCUUGCUCCUCUGACGUUAGCGGCGGACGGGUGAGUAACACGUGGAUAACCUACCUAUAAGACUGGGAUAACUUCGGGAAACCGGAGCUAAUAUCGGAUAAUAUAUUGAACCGCAUGGUUCAAUAGUGAAAGACGGUUUUGCUGUCACCUAUAGAUGGAUUCGCGCCGCAUUAGCCAGUUGGUACGGUAACGGCGUACCAAGGCAACGAUGAGUAGCCGACCUGAGAGGGAGAUCGGCCACACUGGAACUGAGACACGGGCCAGACUCCUACGGGAGGCAGCAGUAGGGAAUUUUUCGCAAUGGGCGAAAGCCUGACGGAGCAAUGCCGCGUGUGUGAAGAAGGUCUUCGGAUCGUAAAACUCUGUUAUUAGGAAAGAAAAAAUGUGUAAGUAACUAUGCACGUCUUGACGGUACCUGAUCAAAAAGCCACGGCUAACUACGUG
Molecule: ribosomal RNA, 497 nt
Filed under: uncultured bacterium
Lineage: Bacteria
Description: partial 16S ribosomal RNA
Rfam family: Bacterial small subunit ribosomal RNA
Source: RNAcentral